RNAcentral lists this ribosomal RNA (463 nucleotides) under uncultured bacterium. Its description in RNAcentral is "partial 16S ribosomal RNA". It matches the Rfam family "Bacterial small subunit ribosomal RNA", at positions 32 to 523 of the family's 1533-position model. The record is from RNAcentral.
AAUCAACGCUGGCGGCGUGCCUAACACAUGCAAGUCGCACGAGAAAGGGUCUUCGGAUCUGAGUAAAGUGGCGCACGGGUGAGUAACACGUGAAUUAUCUACCUUCGAGUGGGGAAUAACUUCGGGAAACCGAGGCUAAUACCGCAUAAUAUCUACGGAUCAACGCAGUAAUGCGCUUGAAGAGGAGUUCGCGGCCGAUUAGUUAGUUGGCGGGGUAAUGGCCCACCAAGACGAUGAUCUGUAUCCGGCCUGAGAGGGCGCACGGACACACUGGAGCUGAAACACGGUCCAGACUCCUACGGGAGGCAGCAGUGGUGAAUUUUGCGCAAUGGGGGAAACCCUGACGCAGCAACGCCGCGUGGAGGAUGAAGUCUCUUGGGACGUAAACUCCUUUCGAUAGGGAAGAUUAUGACGGUACCUAUAGAAGAAGCCCCGGCUAACUUCGUGCCAGCCGCCGCAGUAA